This 292-nucleotide signal recognition particle RNA is filed under the name Carlito syrichta (Philippine tarsier). RNAcentral's name for it is "Metazoan signal recognition particle RNA (ENSTSYG00000033684.1)". It matches the Rfam family "Metazoan signal recognition particle RNA". Rfam says of the family: The signal recognition particle (SRP) is a universally conserved ribonucleoprotein. It is involved in the co-translational targeting of proteins to membranes. Lineage: Eukaryota; Metazoa; Chordata; Mammalia; Primates; Tarsiidae. The record is from RNAcentral.
CCUCACCUUGUUGGGUGCCUGUAGUCCCAGCUCCUAGGGAGGCUGAAGAGGGAGGAUUACUUGAGCCCAGGAGUUCUGGGGUGUAGUGUGCUAUGCUGGUUAUGUGUCCACAGUAGGUUCAACAUUCAUUUGGUGGCCUCCCGAGAGCAAGGGACCACCAGGAUGCCUAAGGAGGGAUGAACCAGCCCAGGUCGGAAAUGGAGCAGGUCAAAACUCCCAUGCUGAUCAGUAGUGGGAUCACGCCCAUGAAUAGCCACUGCACUCCAGCCUGGACAACAAAGAGAGAGCCUGU